This 441-nucleotide ribosomal RNA is filed under the name uncultured bacterium. Its description in RNAcentral is "partial 16S ribosomal RNA". It matches the Rfam family "Bacterial small subunit ribosomal RNA", at positions 338 to 795 of the family's 1533-position model. The record is from RNAcentral.
CCUACGGGGGGCAGCAGUGGGGGAUAUUGCACAAUGGGGGGAACUCUGAUGCAGUGACGCCGCGUGGGUGAAGGAGUAUUUCGGUAUGUAAAGCCCUAUCGGCAGGGAAGAAGCAAGACGGUACCUGACUAAGAAGCCCCGGCUAACUACGUGCCAGCAGCCGCGGUAAUACGUAGGGGGCGAGCGUUAUCCGGAUUCACGGGGUUUAAAGGGAGCGUAGACGGCCAUGCAAGCCAGGGGUGAAAGCCCGGGGCCCAACGCCGGGACUGCCCUUGGAACUGCAUGGCUGGAGUGCGGGAGGGGCAGGCGGAAUGCCUGGUGUAGCGGUGAAAUGCGUAGAUAUCAGGAGGAACACCGGCGGCGAAGGCGGCCUGCUGGACCGCGACUGACGUUGAGGCUCGAAAGCGUGGGGAGCGAACAGGAUUAGAUACCCCAGUAGUC